Molecule: long non-coding RNA, 1555 nt
Organism: Chinchilla lanigera (long-tailed chinchilla)
Lineage: Eukaryota; Metazoa; Chordata; Mammalia; Rodentia; Chinchillidae
Exons: 2
Source: RefSeq, a predicted model, not a curated record
UCGAAUUUGUGUUGAUCCUACUGCCUCAGCCUCCCAAGUUCUGGGAUUACAGGCAUGCACCACCACACCCGGCACCUACUUUUGCUAUUUUACUACUGUGAGCUUGACUUUCUCUGUGUCCUUCAGAGACUUUCCAGUGAAGUUUUCACCAUCUUUUCCAUCUUGAGCAUCACACCCCAUGCUCAAGUAAAGACUGCGUUCCAUCAGGGUGGCAAGAAACCUACCAAGCACAGGGCCUGUCUCAAAGAAGGGCCCCCUAAGAUGACAGGUAAUGGAAUAAGCACAGUAGUCAAAGAGUGGAAGAGGGAGGACAAGGACAGAAUUUUGGAGCCUGGAGGCAGAUGAACGAAUAGAACUAACUGGACCUGAGAAGCUUUACCCUGAAACGGGCAGUGAGAGAAGAAAAUACCCAGAAAUCUCAUUUGGACUGCAGAAUCCCAGAUAAUCUCAGGAGGUGGCGAGGAUGGGUAACUGCGUCUUCUGAGUCUUUUUUUUUUGGACUGGGAAUUGAACUCAGCUUGCUAGGCAGGUGCUUGCGCCACUGAGCUAUAUCCCCGGCAGGAUGGGUAACUCUGGAAGAAGGAAUGGAGAUGACGCGAAGAUUGGUCGGAAGACAGAAAGACGCCUGUCACCUGCCCCAGACUAGCUGUGAGACCAAGCCCUUCCUUCCCCCGGGUGGAGGUGCAGUGGAGCAGAGAGCUGGGGCCAGGCAUCCAGAACUGAAAACUGGGGUUUGGGGAAAGACUACACACCAACUCUUGAGAGCCCCAGCUUCCUUCCCUUCCAGGAACCCCAGACGUGCGCAGCCAUCCCCUCCAGGCCUCACAACAAGGCAAAGCCAGAUCACUUUGCAGCGAAUCUCAAAACCAGCCUCCAUGGUACGGUUGUGCGAAAUCCCCUCCUACAAAGGAGGGCCACCAGACGUUUGGAGCAUGUAUAUAAAAGACAGAAAUCAAAACAGUAAACCAACUGAGGGGAAGCAGAUUGUACCAGGAGAAGAAGGAUCCUCAGGGACAUAAGAGACUGCUGUGCCAGGACAAAUUCCCAGAAAGCACAGCAACACAAUUAGAUGUAAAAGGAUGGAAGAGAAAUCAAGUCCAGAGGGCCAAAGAUUUGAAUAAUAGGAACUCUGGCAAUAGAGAGCAGAGAAAACCGCUAGGCAUGGUGCUCGGAAUCCCAGCACUUGGGAGGCUGAGGCAGGAGGAUGACUGUGAGUUCCAGGCCACCCUGGGCUACAUAGUGAGUUCAAGGUCAGCCCUCUCUGAGACCCAGAGAAUAGAGAAAAUGGAGGAAAAGAAGCCAUCAUGAAGUAAGUAAAGAAAAAUUUCUAGUACUAAAGUCACCAGAUCAAAAGGAGACACCAAAUGCCUAGGACAGCAGAUGAAAACAGACCCAAACCAAGCACAUCACUGUGACCUUACAGAAUAUUACAGAUGAAUAAAAAGUCAUAAAACUUUCUAGAGAGAGAGAAGAAGUUCCACAUAACAUACCAAGAAUUAGACUUCUGAACUAUGACAUUGGAAAUGAAAAGAAAAUAAAACAAAUGCCUUCAAAA